RNAcentral lists this ribosomal RNA (451 nucleotides) under uncultured bacterium. RNAcentral describes it as "bacterial SSU rRNA". It matches the Rfam family "Bacterial small subunit ribosomal RNA", at positions 28 to 505 of the family's 1533-position model. The record is from RNAcentral.
GUUGAAUGCUGGCGGUGCGCCUAAUACAUGCAAGUCGAACGAGACGAUUGAGGAGUUUACUUUUCAAUCUGAAAGUGGCGGACGAGCGAGUAACACGUAACUACCUGCCCCGUACUCAGGGAUAACGGUCCGAAAGGAUCGCUAAUACCGGAUGGUCCCGAAAGGGUAAAGCUUUUGCGGUACGGGAGGGGGUUGCGGCUUAUCAGUUAGUUGGUGGGGUAAAGGCCUACCAAGACGAUGACGAGUAGCUGGUGUGAGAGCAUGACCAGCCGCGAUGGGACUGAGACACGGCCCAUACUCCUACGGGAGGCAGCAGUAAGGAAUCUUCCGCAAUGGGGGAAACCCUGACGGAGCGACACCGCGUGAAGGAUGAAGCAUCUAGGUGUGUAAACUUCUUUUAUGAGGGAAGAAAAUCUGACGGUACCUCAUGAAUAAGGACCGGCUAAUUACG